RNAcentral lists this ribosomal RNA (652 nucleotides) under uncultured Hyphomicrobiales bacterium. RNAcentral's name for it is "bacterial SSU rRNA". It matches the Rfam family "Bacterial small subunit ribosomal RNA", at positions 8 to 707 of the family's 1533-position model. The record is from RNAcentral. Lineage: Bacteria; Pseudomonadati; Pseudomonadota; Alphaproteobacteria; Hyphomicrobiales.
AGAGUUUGAUCCUGGCUCAGAGCGAACGCUGGCGGCAGGCCUAACACAUGCAAGUCGAGCGCCCCGCAAGGGGAGCGGCAGACGGGAGAGUAACACGUGGGAACGUACCCUUCAGUUCGGAACAACCCAGGGAAACUUGGGCUAAUACCGGAUACGUCCGAAAGGAGAAAGAUUUAUCGCUGAGGGAUCGGCCCGCGUCUGAUUAGCUAGUUGGUGGGGUAACGGCCCACCAAGGCGACGAUCAGUAGCUGGUCUGAGAGGAUGAUCAGCCACAUUGGGACUGAGACACGGCCCAAACUCCUACGGGAGGCAGCAGUGGGGAAUAUUGGACAAUGGGCGCAAGCCUGAUCCAGCCAUGCCGCGUGAGUGAUGAAGGCCCUAGGGUUGUAAAGCUCUUUUGUGCGGGAAGAUAAUGACGGUACCGCAAGAAUAAGCCCCGGCUAACUUCGUGCCAGCAGCCGCGGUAAUACGAAGGGGGCUAGCGUUGCUCGGAAUCACUGGGCGUAAAGGGUGCGUAGGCGGGUCUUUAAGUCAGGGGUGAAAUCCUGGAGCUCAACUCCAGAACUGCCUUUGAUACUGAAGAUCUUGAGUUCGGGAGAGGUGAGUGGAACUGCGAGUGUAGAGGUGAAAUUCGUAGAUAUUUCGCAAGAAC